UAAAAUAGAAAAAAAUAGAUAGAGAUAAAAAAUAAGAAUAAAUAAAUAUACAAAAAAUAAAGAAAAAUAACAAAAAAUAAAGGAAUUGAAAAAUAAAGAGAAAAUAAAAAUAAAAAAGCAAAAACAAAAGAAACCAAUAAAGGAAAAAACAGAAUAAUAAAAGUAGAAACAAAGAGACAGAGAAAAAAAUUAAAUGAAUUGAGAAAUAAACAAGAAAAGAA
Molecule: long non-coding RNA, 221 nt
Filed under: Capsicum annuum
Lineage: Eukaryota; Viridiplantae; Streptophyta; Magnoliopsida; Solanales; Solanaceae
Description: long non-coding RNA (CANN_LNC012422)
Source: RNAcentral